GUCCACGCCGUAAACGAUGGGUGCUAGGUGUCGCGGGCUUUGACUCCCGCGGUGCCGUAGCUAACGCAUUAAGCACCCCGCCUGGGAAGUACGGCCGCAAGGCUAAAACUCAAAGGAUUGACGGGGCCCGCACAAGCGGUGGAGCAUGUGGUUUAAUUCGACGCAACGCGAAGAACCUUACCUGGGCCUAGAAAAUGCAGGAACCUGGGAGAAGUCUCGGGGUGCCCUUCGGGGAGCCUGUAGUUAGGUGCUGCAUGGCUGUCGU
RNAcentral lists this ribosomal RNA (265 nucleotides) under uncultured bacterium. RNAcentral's name for it is "partial 16S ribosomal RNA". It matches the Rfam family "Bacterial small subunit ribosomal RNA", at positions 793 to 1055 of the family's 1533-position model. The record is from RNAcentral.